UUAUAAGAGACAGCAGCCGCCACGGUAAAACGGAGGGUGCAAGCGUUAAUCGGAAUUACUGGGCGUAAAGCGCACGCAGGCGGUUUGUUAAGUCAGAUGUGAAAUCCUCGAGCUUAACUUGGGAACUGCAUUUGAAACUGGCAAGCUAGAGUCUUGUAGAGGGGGGUAGAAUUCCAGGUGUAGCGGUGAAAUGCGUAGAGAUCUGGAGGAAUACCGGUGGCGAAGGCGGCCCCCUGGACAAAGACUGACGCUCAGGUGCGAAAGCGUGGGGAGCAAACAGGAUUAGAUACCCCGGUAGUCCCUGUCUCUUAUAC
This 314-nucleotide ribosomal RNA is filed under the name uncultured bacterium. RNAcentral's name for it is "partial 16S ribosomal RNA". It matches the Rfam family "Bacterial small subunit ribosomal RNA", at positions 499 to 807 of the family's 1533-position model. The record is from RNAcentral.